This 446-nucleotide ribosomal RNA is filed under the name uncultured bacterium. RNAcentral describes it as "bacterial SSU rRNA". It matches the Rfam family "Bacterial small subunit ribosomal RNA", at positions 354 to 796 of the family's 1533-position model. The record is from RNAcentral.
GUGAGGAAUUUUGGACAAUGGGGGAAACCCUGAUCCAGCGACGCCGCGUGGAGGACGAAGGUCUUCGGAUUGUAAACUCCUUUUGUCCGGGAAUAAUAAAUCUGUAGAAAUACAGAGAUUGAAUGUACCGGAUGAAUAAGCCACGGCUAACUUCGUGCCAGCAGCCGCGGUAAUACGAAGGUGGCAAGCGUUACUCGGAAUUACUAGGCGUAAAGCGCAGGUAGGUGGUUGUGUAAGUCUGCUGUGAAAGCUCCCGGCUUAACUGGGAGAGGUCAGUGGAUACUGCAUAGCUAGAGUGUGGGAGAGGGUACUGGAAUUCCCGGUGUAGCGGUGAAAUGCGCAGAGAUCGGGAGGAACACCUAAGGCGAAAGCAGGUACCUGGACCAUUACUGACACUAAGCUGCGAAAGCUAGGGGAGCAAACAGGAUUAGAAACCCCAGUAGUCC